This is a long non-coding RNA of Schistocerca gregaria, 639 nucleotides long. RefSeq lists it as uncharacterized. The record is from RefSeq and is a predicted model, not a curated record. NCBI's taxonomy places the organism in Eukaryota, Metazoa, Arthropoda, Insecta, Orthoptera, Acrididae. The transcript has 2 exons.
CUCUUACUCGUUAUUUCGCCUCUCAACCAAAAAAUGUUCGCGCUCUAUUUCGUGCUAUUCACCAUGCUGAUCGAAGCUUCCAUUCUGAUCAUGCUGCUGGUGCCCUACCUCAACAAAACCAUGGUGCCACUUAUCGCAGACUUUCUCUACAAAAUUCGACUUUUCCUCAAAAUUAUGUUUAGUAUCCUUUCAUUCAUGCUCUAUGACUCCUACACCGAUAUGCGCAGGUAUCAGAGAAAAUCCUUGGAAACAACUGAUACUGACUUAUUCAGGCGCAUGGACGCGCUGAAACUCAAAUUCCGAGCUGAGAGAAACUUUUACUUGUGCUUCAUCACAUUCACCUUCUUCUUGCUCAUUCUACGCCUAGAGGGCAUAGUCAAAAAAUCGCGCACUCUAGAACUGGAAGUUCAGAACUUAAAAGAAAAACAGGAAAAAAGAAUUCAUGAAGACUGAACCGUGCUGUAGUAAAUGGUUUCUCUUGUCAAAAUAUAACAGUUACGAUGCCUUUUUCUAGCUUUAAAAUCAAUUUCCCUAUGCACUCACCGCAAUGCCAGUAGUUGUCACAAUUUACCGCAACAUAGGAAAGAAACUCGUGUACUUUUGCCAAUCCUUUAUAAAAACUUUUCGCCUCUUUUUGCA